GACGAACGCUGGCGGCGUGCUUAACACAUGCAAGUCGAACGGAAAGGCCCUGCUUUUGUGGGGUGCUCGAGUGGCGAACGGGUGAGUAACACGUGAGUAACCUGCCCUUGACUUUGGGAUAACUUCAGGAAACUGGGGCUAAUACCGGAUAGGAGCUCCUGCUGCAUGGUGGGGGUUGGAAAGUUUCGGCGGUUGGGGAUGGACUCGCGGCUUAUCAGCUUGUUGGUGGGGUAGUGGCUUACCAAGGCUUUGACGGGUAGCCGGCCUGAGAGGGUGACCGGCACAAUUGGACUGGGGAUAGGGCCAGGACCCUUCCGGGAGGAAAAGGGGGGAAAUUUUCCACAUGGGGCGGAGGCCGGAUGCAGCACCGCCGGGUGGGGAAUGCCGGCCUCGGGUUGUAAACCGCUUUCGCCUGUGACGAAGCGUGAGUGACGGUAAUGGGUAAAGAAGCACCGGCUAACUACGUG
RNAcentral lists this ribosomal RNA (467 nucleotides) under uncultured bacterium. Its description in RNAcentral is "partial 16S ribosomal RNA". It matches the Rfam family "Bacterial small subunit ribosomal RNA", at positions 28 to 507 of the family's 1533-position model. The record is from RNAcentral.